RNAcentral lists this long non-coding RNA (502 nucleotides) under Homo sapiens (human). Its description in RNAcentral is "non-protein coding lnc-CHD7-5:1". Lineage: Eukaryota; Metazoa; Chordata; Mammalia; Primates; Hominidae. The record is from RNAcentral.
CACAUAUUCCAGUUGGAUAUUCAUUUUCAAACAGCACCCUUGCAAAGUCUAGACAGAUAUUCCCUCUCCUCAUUCUUUUUUCUAGGUACACAGUCUGUCUAUAAACCAUGUAAGACAAAUACUACUAGCAUUCUAUUUUGCAGAAUUAACUCUCAUUAUUGGAGAACCAUUCCAAUUAGUAGUUAAGAUGUUGCAGUAUGUCUCUUGCUUUUCAUUCUCAGCCCUGCCCCCUGAAAACUGUGUUGCUGGUUUAGACACUUCUUAUAUCAAGGCUCUCCAUCUACCUGUUUUCUUACUGUCACAAGAGUGGAUCUGAUCUCAGUUUGUUUUGGGAAUAGAGAUAAACUUACAGUCUUAGAGUUUCUUUUCUCACUCUUUAGAGUGAUUCCACUGUUCCCCCUACUGCAUAGUGUUUCUCUCCUGUUAUUGGAAUUCUUAAUGCUUUAGUGAGUGAUUUCUUUUUUAUUGCAUUUGAUACUGUUCCAGCAUGGUGUUCACCGAG